RNAcentral lists this ribosomal RNA (472 nucleotides) under uncultured bacterium. RNAcentral describes it as "bacterial SSU rRNA". It matches the Rfam family "Bacterial small subunit ribosomal RNA", at positions 335 to 798 of the family's 1533-position model. The record is from RNAcentral.
ACUCCUACGGGAGGCAGCAGUGGGAAUAUUGGACAAUGGGGGACCGUAGCAUCCAGCCAUGCCGCGUGUGUGAAGAAGGCCUUAUGGUUGUAAAGCACUUUAAGCGAGGAGGAGGCUACUGAGACUAAUACUCUUGGAUAGUGGACGUUACUCGCAGAAUAAGCACCGGCUAACUCUGUGCCAGCAGCCGCGGUAAUACAGAGGGUGCAAGCGUUGUCCGGAAUUAUUGGGCGUAAAGAGCUCGUAGGCGGUUUGUCACGUCUGCUGUGAAAAUCCAAGGCUCAACCUUGGACUUGCAGUGGGUACGGGCAGGCUAGAGUGCGGUAGGGGAGAUGGGAAUUCCUGGUGUAGCGGUGGAAUGCGCAGAUAUCAGGAGGAACACCAAUGGCGAAGGCACAUCUCUGGGCCGUAACUGACGCUGAGGAGCGAAAGCGUGGGGAGCGAACAGGAUUAGAUACCCUGGUAGGUCAGU